This 491-nucleotide ribosomal RNA is filed under the name uncultured bacterium. RNAcentral's name for it is "partial 16S ribosomal RNA". It matches the Rfam family "Bacterial small subunit ribosomal RNA", at positions 29 to 506 of the family's 1533-position model. The record is from RNAcentral.
AGUGAACGCUGGCGGUAGGCCUAACACAUGCAAGUCGAACGGCAGCACAGUAAGAGCUUGCUCUUACGGGUGGCGAGUGGCGGACGGGUGAGGAAUACAUCGGAAUCUACUUUUUCGUGGGGGAUAACGUAGGGAAACUUACGCUAAUACCGCAUACGACCUACGGGUGAAAGCAGGGGAUCUUCGGACCUUGCGCGAUUGAAUGAGCCGAUGUCGGAUUAGCUAGUUGGCGGGGUAAAGGCCCACCAAGGCGACGAUCCGUAGCUGGUCUGAGAGGAUGAUCAGCCAAACUGGAACUGAGAAACGGUCCAGACACCUACGGGAGGCAGCAGUGGGGAAUAUUGGACAAUGGGCGAAAGCCUGAUCCAGCCAUACCGCGUGGGUGAAGAAGGCCUUCGGGUUGUAAAGCCCUUUUGUUGGGAAAGAAAAGCAGCAGGUUAAUACCCCGCUGUUCUGACGGUACCCAAAGAAUAAGCACCGGCUAACUUCGU